Molecule: ribosomal RNA, 482 nt
Filed under: uncultured bacterium
Lineage: Bacteria
Description: partial 16S ribosomal RNA
Rfam family: Bacterial small subunit ribosomal RNA
Source: RNAcentral
GACGAACGCUGGCGGCGUGCUUAACACAUGCAAGUCGAACGAUGAACCAGGGCUUGCCCUGGGGAUUAGUGGCGAACGGGUGAGUAACACGUGGGCAACCUGCCCCAGACACCGGGAUAACCUCUCGAAAGAGUGGCUAAUACCGGAUACGACCACUUUGGGCAUCCAACGGUGGUGGAAAGGAUUCUGGUCUGGGAUGGGCCCGCGGCCUAUCAGCUUGUUGGUGGGGUAAUGGCCUACCAAGGCGACGAAGGGUAGCCGGCCUGAGAGGGCGACCGGCCACACUGGGACUGAGACACGGCCCAGACUCCUACGGGAGGCAGCAGUGGGGAAUAUUGCGCAAUGGGCGAAAGCCUGACGCAGCGACGCCGCGUGAGGGACGAAGGUCUGCGGAUUGUAAACCUCUUUCAGCAGGGACGAAGCGAAAGUGACUGUACCUGCAGAAGAAGCACCGGCUAACUACGUGCCAGCCGCCGCCGUAA